Molecule: long non-coding RNA, 4320 nt
Organism: Cavia porcellus (domestic guinea pig)
Lineage: Eukaryota; Metazoa; Chordata; Mammalia; Rodentia; Caviidae
Exons: 3
Source: RefSeq, a predicted model, not a curated record
GCGGGCCCACGCGCGGGGUCGCACGCUCGCGCCAAGGGCCGAGCCCGACUCCACGCAACUUGGCCUGCGGGUGACUCCGCUCUGCGUGGCUGCACCGCGCAUCCCCGGCCGCCCUCGCCUUCGGGUCGGGACUCAGUUUCCCUCUGCAGCCGGGGACGGCGCGGGCGGGGUCGGCGGCAGAGUCACCGACUCCGCCCCACGCCGGGGAGAAGCUGGAGGGCGCGGUGGGGGGCUCCCGCGGGGUGCGGAGGCCGGCGACCCAGCCGUUGGCAGGACCCCUCUCCGGGGAGCUGAGCUCAGCCAGGGGCUCCCCGCCUCGCCUGGGCUGGAAUGGAAGAGAACCUUAGACCCCGAGGUGCUGGGUCUGGUACUGGGGGUGAAAUGGUGCACGAACAGUGUGAACUGUGGUAAUUUUUUUAAUUCCACAUUUUUAGUAGUGAUGGCUGUGGACGCGUUUGGGGAAUGAUGUGCUUAAACCAUGUGAUUAUAACAAAAAUGAUAACUCAGGUCAGCACAGUGCUUCACUCAUCUACGAAGCCAAAAGUGAAGCCAGGCGUCCCCUACUUUUAUCCAGUGGGACACGUCCUUAUCCUAGCAGACUGUAUUUAGCAAAAUGUCAGUGUGGCUGGAUACUAUAAAUAACUAGAUGUGUGCGGGUCUACGGACUUUAACCGACUCUAAACAUGAUUUGCGCUUGAGCCACGCAGGUUCUUAAAACCUGGAAUUGCGGUGCGCUCUGUAGGUGCCGGGGAGUUUGAAAGCCAGGCUGCUGAGCUGCAGACCUGACAGUGCUACACUGUCCCUGUGAAACGCUCCUGUACUUUCUUCCAGGACUGAAGUUAGGGUCAGGGUUAGGGUUAGGGUUACAAAGGACAGGGAGACGCUGAUGUGCAUUAUCUCGUGGCAGGACCUGGGAGAAAAGUAAAUGUGGUGCCUGUAACUUUUAUUAUAAACGCGGCCCCCAUGCAAGUGCAAGUCCACGUAAGACUCCACAGAUCAUCCGGGCUUUAUUGUGGAGUUGGGCGAGGAAGGCUUUGCACCAUUUCAUUGAGCCUCAGCUCCACCAUUGCAUGUGCACAGGGCGUGGCUGCGCCCUGAAAGCCGAGGCUUGCCUCCAGCUGUGUUACCCUUCAGGUUGGGUCAGGGCCAUGCCUACGCACUGGAUUCCUGGGGCCGCUCAAAACGUGCUUUGUGCAUCCGUCAAUCAUCAUUGCUGCUAUACAGGCAAAACCAAAAAGAACUGUGAAUGUUUGCCUCUGGGCCACCUGCAGUGAUCUCGCACCCUUUGGAGACUGCCCCUCCGAGCCCUGGGAAACACUCCACCCUUCUGGACACAUGUGAGAUGCAGCCUGCCCUUGGGCAGCAGCGUGUGAAGCCGUUCUGCGGUCCUUCUGGCUCAGCUGUUCUUCACGUGUCCUGUGAGCGGAAGUAACAUGUCACAUCUGAGCUGAGGUGGGGCAGGGGCUCUCCGAAGACAUUUUUCUUUCUUGUGUUCUUUCUUUAGCAGAAGAGGAGCACUUAACACUGAAAUGGGGGGCAGCCUCUGAAGAAGACUGAAGCAUUUUGGGUCACUGAACAACCACCCCAGGAAUAGCGUCUCAUAAAGUUUCCCAGAGCCUUACAAACUUUACAUGAGCCCGAACCACAGGGGUUCUGUUAAGCCACUUGGGUGGCUUGUUUGUUUGUUUUUGUUUGCUUGCUUUCCUUAACUUGCCUGGGGACUCACACUCUUAGACAGACAUAGAAUGUUCCAAAGUCACUGAUGCUGUGACUUUCUGUCCACCACGGAAGGACUCCUUCCAGCGGGAGUCGGUGACGCUGCCAAGGUGAGACAUGGGCACUGGGGACUAGGGGCCGAAGACAGACACGGCCUUAGCCUUUCCAAGUGAGCACUACACACAAAAAGGUAUCUCAUGAAUAUUAUUUUUAAGCAAACACCAUAGGACUUUAGCAUGUUAUGGUUAGAACCAUUCACAAACCAAAGUAUCAAAAUAGCAACAACGCUGAAUCUUUUUUAGAGCCAAAGAUAAAAUUUCUCUAUGGUAGCCGUGGAAUUUCAGCCCCUCUAAUCCGUCCUCUCCUACUGCGAGCCCUGCUAUUCCAGGGAUGUCCAGUCCGGAGCUGCUCAAGUGCCCCGUGCAGCUGCUGCAGCAGUGCUGCUGCCGAUCCUUGCAUGAGCAUCCAGUCCACAUGCUCAGGUGCCUGAUAAGAAAGCGAAGCCUUUGACCGAGACACUGGCUUUAAUGGACUUUAAUCAGAGAGCGAUUACGCUCCUCAUCCUCUUCCGGUGAUAAAAUGGAAUUAGUGUGCGUGUCUCUAAUUCUGCAAAUUCUUUAAUCUUCAGGUCCUGGACUGUUUCAUUGUACUCUUCUUUAUGGGGUAUAGAGAAUUCCUAAAAAUGGCAGCAUUCCAAACUUAAAAACAUCUAAAAGGCACUUCCAUAAUAUAUUGAGACUUAGUGGCUUAUAUGACUGUUAAAAGAGUGUAAGUUGUUGGGGGUGAUUGUCUUCCAGUUCAGUUGCUAGUUGUUUAGUUUUGAGAAAGGAAGCAAUGAAGGAAGUUAAGGAAGCAAGGAAAGGAAAGGGAGGGAUGAAGGAAGAGAUAAUUCCAUUAAUUACUUUAUGAACUUAUUUUCAGUCUUGAAGCUUUCACUUUCCUAUAAUCUCCAUUCUACUUCCACUGCAGGCACUAGGGGUUUCCCCGGUAAAUUCGUAUUGAGAGUACAAGGCACUCUAGGUCCUUAGAGGGUGAAACAGUUCCCUGCCAGGAAUCAGUUGGGUCACUGCUUCGGUUACCCACUGAGUCCUGACGGGGUGCAAAUGGCCCGUGUGUGCAGAGCCCAUCCUGGAAGGUGAAGAGGAAGGGACAGACAAAGCCAAGGCAAUUACCGCUGCUCAGCUGGACGGAAACCAAGCACCAGGCAGGUGUUUGCUUAGGUUUCUGUGCCUCUGAUUGCUGUGCAGUUGGCAAACACAUGUGAAAUGCUACACAUCGCUCGCCCACCAUCACCCCUUUCCUGUUAUAUGGAAACAAACACGAACUUUACAGUUGCGAAGAACGCAAUAGAAAAUCAGAAUAUUUAAGAUAAGUCAUAUUUUGGCUUUGAAAGUGAAUUUUCAAAGACUUAAAAGGCUCAUAACGACCCAGGAAACAACCCGGCAGACACCCUCUUCCUCGGCCUUCCCUCCUCCUCCACCCUCCCAGCAGCCCUCCACCGCAGAGAAAGCACGAGGUCUGGACACAGAAAGUGAGGCUGAGCCCAGUGCUGAGAUCCUGGAGAUGAAGCAGGACAGCUGGACUCACCAUUUCAUGUCACUUUUUUCUUAGCUUAUUAAAAUGUGCACAGACGAUUUGUCUGAAUUAUAAUACAUGAGCCAGAUUUUACACAAGGGAGGACUCCGGGGGUAGCGUUUUUGCUUGACUCUGCUGUUCUGUUGAGACUGCUUCUGAGGGGCACUGUGAGGGCUGUCCUGCCUCAGCAGGGCGCUGGACCUGAGGCCAGUGCAUAACACGAGCCCCAUGUGGAGGCCGGCACUGGUACUACAUGUCCACUGUUCAGGCAGCUGCAGUUGCAAAACUAUUUGUGUUCACAAUUUGUUUCCAGUGAGCGAGGAGAUGAAGGCUGGGCCAGCUCUGGGCAGUGCAAAUGUUCAAACGCAGCCACUUUUCAUGCUGAACAGCUUGGGUCCUGCUGCUUGGAGGAAGGGUUUAGUAUUUUCAUAGAUUAUUUAAAAUCUACGACAUUAAAAUCUUGGUCCUGGAUAUACUUACCAAAUCCUUUAAAAUUUUGAAAAGAUGGCCAUAAAUGUUCAGAAACAGAAAUGACAAAUAUGAAAAUAUAUCUUGUAAAGAUGUGUUGAUUAGAAUUUAAUAAAACCACUUGAAAAUUCGAUAGUCUGCUUUUAAUCAGGCUGGAUUCCUAACGCCGAUCUCAUAAGCAAAGCAUCUCUCACAUGACUAAUACCAUGGGACAAUGAUAUAAUUGUUACAUACCUUUUUAUAUAACCGUGUUUAUAAUAGGAAAUAAAUAAUGCAAAACUAUGAAGAGAACUUAUCAAGUAGUCUAGUGCCAACCUCACCCCACCUGCUUGCCAAAUGAUAAAAACAAAAUAAGACAGUAUCUUUCUCGGAGAUCUAAACAGAAAGAAUAUUUUCAGCCUAGAGUUUUACUCUGUAUUACAAAAGGCUAAGAAUCACGAUGGUUGCUGAGAUACUAUCAUGGAUGUACAUAGAACUAUGUAAAAGAUUAACUAUGGGGAUUUCAGUACAUUGUUUGAUGAUCGGAAUGUAGAUCACUUGUGAAUGUAAAAGAAGAUAUAA